UUCCAUCAUGCUCAUCUCGAACUCCCCUUGCAUGAGCUUAACAAAAUCUUGACAGAGAGUUUCAUUAGUAGAUCCAAAAGUAAUAUCAUCAAUGUAUAUUUGUAUAACUAAGAUAUCAUCAUGAUUUCUUUUAAUGAAAAGGGUUGUAUCUACAUUUUCUCUUGAAAAAUUAUUGUUAAGCAAGAAUUUACUUAACCUUUCAUACCA
Molecule: long non-coding RNA, 207 nt
Filed under: Elaeis guineensis (African oil palm)
Lineage: Eukaryota; Viridiplantae; Streptophyta; Magnoliopsida; Arecales; Arecaceae
Description: long non-coding RNA (EGUI_LNC028546)
Source: RNAcentral